GAUGAACGCUGGCGGCGUGCCUAAUACAUGCAAGUCGAGCGAACAGACGAGGAGCUUGCUCCUCUGACGUUAGCGGCGGACGGGUGAGUAACACGUGGAUAACCUACCUAUAAGACUGGGAUAACUUCGGGAAACCGGAGCUAAUACCGGAUAAUAUAUUGAACCGCAUGGUUCAAUAGUGAAAGACGGUUUUGCUGUCACUUAUAGAUGGAUCCGCGCCGCAUUAGCUAGUUGGUAAGGUAACGGCUUACCAAGGCAACGAUGCGUAGCCGACCUGAGAGGGUGAUAGGCCACACUGGAACUGAGACACGGUCCAGACUCCUACGGGAGGCAGCAGUAGGGAAUCUUCCGCAAUGGGCGAAAGCCUGACGGAGCAACGGCGCGUGAGUGAUGAAGGUCUUCGGAUCGUAAAACUCUGUUAUUAGGGAAGAACAAAUGUGUAAGUAACUAUGCACGGCUUGACGGUACCUAAUCAGAAAGCCACGGCUAACUACGUG
RNAcentral lists this ribosomal RNA (497 nucleotides) under uncultured bacterium. RNAcentral's name for it is "partial 16S ribosomal RNA". It matches the Rfam family "Bacterial small subunit ribosomal RNA", at positions 28 to 507 of the family's 1533-position model. The record is from RNAcentral.